GACGAACGCUGGCGGCGUGCUUAACACAUGCAAGUCGAACGGAAAGGCCCUGCUUUUGUUGGGUGCUCGAGUGGCGAACGGGUGAGUAACACGUGAGUAACCUGCCCUUGACUUUGGGAUAACUUCAGGAAACUGGGGCUAAUACCGGAUAUGAGCUCCUGCUGCAUGUUGGGGGUUGGAAAGUUUCGGCGGUUGGGUGUGGACUCGCGGCUUAUCAGCUUGUUGGUGGGGUAGUGGCUUACCAAGGCUUUGACGGGUAGCCUGCCUGAGAGGGUGAGCGGCGACAUAGGGACUGAGAGAAGGCACAGACUGCGAAGGGAGGGAGAAGUGGGAAAGAUUGCAGAAUGGGCGGAAGGCUGGUGAAGCAGCGCCGCGGGCGGGAAGACGGUCUUAGGGUUGUAAACCAAAUUCGCCAGUGACUAAGCGUGAGUGAAGGGAAUGGGUAAAGAAAGACCGGCCUAAUAAGUG
This 468-nucleotide ribosomal RNA is filed under the name uncultured bacterium. Its description in RNAcentral is "partial 16S ribosomal RNA". It matches the Rfam family "Bacterial small subunit ribosomal RNA", at positions 28 to 507 of the family's 1533-position model. The record is from RNAcentral.